AUUGAACGCUGGCGGCAGGCCUAACACAUGCAAGUCGAACGGUAACAGGAAGCAGCUUGCUGCUUCGCUGACGAGUGGCGGACGGGUGAGUAAUGUCUGGGAAACUGCCUGAUUGAGGGGGAUAACUACUGGAAACGGUAGCUAAUACCGCAUAACGUCGCAAGACCAAAGAGGGGGACCUUAGGGCCUCUUGCCAUCGGAUGUGCCCAGAUGGGAUUAGCUAGUAGGUGGGGUAACGGCUCACCUAGGCGACGAUCCCUAGCUGGUCUGAGAGGAUGACCAGCCACACUGGAACUGAGACACGGUCCAGACUCCUACGGGAGGCAGCAGUGGGGAAUAUUGCACAAUGGGCGCAAGCCUGAUGCAGCCAUGCCGCGUGUAUGAAGAAGGCCUUCGGGUUGUAAAGUACUUUCAGCGGGGAGGAAGGGAGUAAAGUUAAUACCUUUGCUCAUUGACGUUACCCGCAGAAGAAGCACCGGCUAACUCCGUG
Molecule: ribosomal RNA, 490 nt
Filed under: uncultured bacterium
Lineage: Bacteria
Description: partial 16S ribosomal RNA
Rfam family: Bacterial small subunit ribosomal RNA
Source: RNAcentral